UAACCUCUGGCGAUAUACGUGAAUGUUG
Lacinutrix sp. 5H-3-7-4 is the source of this 28-nucleotide regulatory RNA element. It matches the Rfam family "L19-Flavobacteria ribosomal protein leader". NCBI's taxonomy places the organism in Bacteria, Pseudomonadati, Bacteroidota, Flavobacteriia, Flavobacteriales, Flavobacteriaceae. The record is from Rfam.